RNAcentral lists this ribosomal RNA (599 nucleotides) under uncultured bacterium. RNAcentral describes it as "bacterial SSU rRNA". The stretch from base 1 to 520 matches the Rfam family "Bacterial small subunit ribosomal RNA", at positions 338 to 873 of the family's 1533-position model. The record is from RNAcentral.
CCUACGGGAGGCAGCAGUGGGGAAUAUUGGGCAAUGGAGGAAACUCUGACCCAGCGACGCCGCGUGCGGGAUGAAGGCCUUCGGGUUGUAAACCGCUUUCAGUAGGGAAGAAGCGAAAGUGACGGUACCUACAGAAGAAGCACCGGCUAACUAUGUGCCAGCAGCCGCGGUAAUACAUAGGGUGCAAGCGUUGUCCGGAAUUAUUGGGCGUAAAGAGCUCGUAGGUGGUUCGUCACGUCGGAUGUGAAAAUCUGGGGCUCAACCCCAGACCUGCAUUCGAUACGGGCGAUCUAGAGUGUGGUAGGGGAGACUGGAAUUCCUGGUGUAGCGGUGGAAUGCGCAGAUAUCAGGAGGAACACCAAUGGCGAAGGCAGGUCUCUGGGCCAUUACUGACACUGAGGAGCGAAAGCGUGGGGAGCGAACAGGAUUAGAUACCCUGGUAGUCCACGCCGUAAACGGUGGGCACUAGUUGUGGGAACCUUCCACGGUUUCUGCGACGCAGCUACGCAUAGUGCCCGCCGUCGGGAGGUACGANCGCAGAUUAAACUACAAGAAGUAGACGCGUGAGACGUGCCGACGGACGACGACGAGGGAGUAGG